UCAGCUCGUGUCGUGAGGAUGUUGGGUUAAGUCCCGCAACGAGCGCAACCCUGCAUUCAGUUGCCAUCGGGUAAUGCCGGGCACUCUGGAAGGACUGCCAUCGACAAGAUGGAGGAAGUGGGGAUGACGUCAAGUCAUCAUGGCCCUUACGGCCUGGGCUACACACGUGCUACAAUGGUCGGUACAAAGGGUUGCCAAGCCGCGAGGUGGAGCUAAUCCCAUAAAACCGAUCGUGGUCCGGAUCGCAGUCUGCAACUCGACUGCGUGAAGUCGGAAUCGCUAGUAAUCGUGAAUCAGAAUGUCACGGUGAAUACGUUCCCGGGCCUU
RNAcentral lists this ribosomal RNA (327 nucleotides) under uncultured Pseudomonas sp. Its description in RNAcentral is "bacterial SSU rRNA". It matches the Rfam family "Bacterial small subunit ribosomal RNA", at positions 1055 to 1382 of the family's 1533-position model. Lineage: Bacteria; Pseudomonadati; Pseudomonadota; Gammaproteobacteria; Pseudomonadales; Pseudomonadaceae. The record is from RNAcentral.